CUACGGGGCGCUCCAGUGAGGAAUAUUGCACAAUGGGGGGAACCCUGAUGCAGCAACGCCGCGUGGAGGAUGACGCAUUUCGGUGUGUAAACUCCUUUUAUAUGUCAAGAAAAUGACGGUAGCAUAUGAAUAAGCACCCGCUAACUCCGUGCCAGCAGCCGCGGUAAUACGGAGGGUGCAAGCGUUACUCGGAAUCACUGGGCGUAAAGGACGCGUAGGCGGGUUGGAAAGUCAGGUGUGAAAUCCUACAGCUUAACUGUAGAACUGCACUUGAAACUUCUAAUCUAGAGUAUGGGAGGGGGAGAUGGAAUUAGUGGUGUAGGGGUAAAAUCCGUAGAUAUCACUAGGAAUACCUAAAGCGAAGGCGAUCUCCUGGAACAUUACCGACGCUAAGGCGUGAAAGCGUGGGGAGCAAACAGGAUUAGAUACCCUAGUAGUC
RNAcentral lists this ribosomal RNA (439 nucleotides) under uncultured bacterium. RNAcentral's name for it is "partial 16S ribosomal RNA". It matches the Rfam family "Bacterial small subunit ribosomal RNA", at positions 339 to 795 of the family's 1533-position model. The record is from RNAcentral.